RNAcentral lists this ribosomal RNA (497 nucleotides) under uncultured bacterium. Its description in RNAcentral is "partial 16S ribosomal RNA". It matches the Rfam family "Bacterial small subunit ribosomal RNA", at positions 28 to 507 of the family's 1533-position model. The record is from RNAcentral.
GAUGAACGCUGGCGGCGUGCCUAAUACAUGCAAGUCGAGCGAACAGACGAGGAGCUUGCUCCUUUGACGUUAGCGGCGGACGGGUGAGUAACACGUGGGUAACCUACCUAUAAGACUGGGAUAACUUCGGGAAACCGGAGCUAAUACCGGAUAAUAUUUCGAACCGCAUGGUUCGAUAGUGAAAGAUGGCUUUGCUAUCACUUAUAGAUGGACCUGCGCCGUAUUAGCUAGUUGGUAAGGUAACGGCUUACCAAGGCAACGAUACGUAGCCGACCUGAGAGGGUGAUCGGCCACACUGGAACUGAGACACGGUCCAGACUCCUACGGGAGGCAGCAGUAGGGAAUCUUCCGCAAAGGGCGAAAGCCUGACGGAGCAACGCCGCGUGAGUGAUGAAGGUCUUCGGAUCGUAAAACUCUGUUAUUAGGGAAGAACAAACGUGUAAGUAACUGUGCACGUCUUGGCGGUACCUAAUCAGAAAGCCACGGCUAACUACGUG